Molecule: long non-coding RNA, 424 nt
Filed under: Lepidothrix coronata (blue-crowned manakin)
Lineage: Eukaryota; Metazoa; Chordata; Aves; Passeriformes; Pipridae
Description: lncRNA (ENSLCOG00000000907.1)
Source: RNAcentral
CCCCAUCCGGGAGAGAUCCUGAGUGUGGAUUAGCUUGGGGAGAGGGGGUGGGAACCCAGGACUGGGCACCCCACUCCCACCCUGCCUCUACCCAGGCCCUGGCUGCCCACGGGGGGCACAUCCUGCCCGGGGACGAGAUCGUGCAGGUCAAUGAGCAGGUCGUGGUGGGUUGGACACGCAUCAACCUGGAGAAGAAGCUGCUGGAGAAGGCAAACGAGGUGACACUGGUGCUGAAGAAGAUCCCCCUUGACCUGCAUGGCUCACCCCUCUCUCCCAGACAGCAACUCCCGGGAGCAUUUUCGGAUGCUGCGGAUUCCCCCGGCACCAGGAGUGGCGAGUGCCCAGGCAGCCCCGUGUCCCUGACCUCCAGGUGAGCCCCAUCCCGACACCCCAACACCCCCAAUCCGGCCAGCGAGGAGCUGUU